Long non-coding RNA from Balaenoptera acutorostrata (minke whale), 1078 nucleotides. RefSeq lists it as uncharacterized. Lineage: Eukaryota; Metazoa; Chordata; Mammalia; Artiodactyla; Balaenopteridae. The transcript is spliced from 3 exons. The record is from RefSeq and is a predicted model, not a curated record.
UGCUGAGACAGCUCUGAAAGCUGGUCGUGUCUCUCCAUGUGGUCUUUCAUUCCCACGAAGGCCACGCUGGGCAUUUUCACAGGGUGAAAGCAACAUUCCAGGAGGUAAUCCCAAACAGGCAUCGCAUUUUCUGAUGUCCUCCUGGCAAGGCCAUUCACAUGACCCAGGCCAGGGUCCCUGUGGAGGCAACUUCACAAGAACAUUAGCAUCUGGAGGCAUGAUUCAUUGAGCGGGCAGCUGUGGCUGCAGGCUUCACUGUACCUCAGAAGAGAGAAGGAGAUGAAAGUCAGCGCAUGCCAAAGAAGAAACAAACACCCGGCUCCAUCAAACGUUCAUGUGAUAUUUAGAAAGAUGCUACUUACUUCUGAGUCUUGAGAUGGUACACCCUGGUGGGAAACUUCCUAUCCUGCAAUCACAGGUCUUCAAAAGGAGAAGAAGCAAAGGCUCUGACUUGAUUGCUGAGGCAUCUGCUUCAAAGAGGAAUCCACUUCAAAGAUGGCUAUUAGGACUUCCCUGGUGGCACUGUGGCUAAGAAUCUACUUGCCAAUGCAGGGGACACAGGUUCAAGCCCUGGUCCGGGAAGAUCCCUCAUGCCGUGGAGCAACUAAGCCCAUGCGCCACAACUACUGAACCUGUGCCCUAGAGCCCAUGAGCCACAACUACUGAGCCUGUGUGCCAGAACUACUGAAGCCCACGUGCCUAGAGCUGAUGUUCCCCAACAAGAGAAGCCACUGCAAUGAGAAGCCUGUGCACCGCAACGAAGAGUAGCCCGUGCUCACCGCAACUAGAGAAAGCCCGCAUGCAGCAACGAAGACCCAACAUGGCCAUAAAUAAAUAAAUAAAUAAAUAAAUAAAUAAAUUUAUUUUAAAAAGAUGGCGGCUAUUAGAAUAAACACAUUUAUUAGUCCAGCCAGCCACAGGACUACAUAAAGAGCCAGGCCACCUGCCCUCACUGAGGCGCUUUUGUUUUAGAGACGUUGGUUGUUUUUGAUAACUGACAAUUUAGGUUGGGGCCGCUUGUUUUUUCUCUUUCCAUGCUUUAAAUUCCCACCCUUAUUUUGAACUCACCAAUAAAGAG